CGCACAUUGCGCCCUUUGGCAUUCCGAAGGGCAUGCCUGUUCGAGCGUCAUUAUCAACCGUCAAGCCUGGGCUUGCAGUUGAACUCUCCCUUUAACCGGGAGGGUUCGAAAGUCAGCGGCGGGGUGUCUGUCGGACCCUAGAUGCAACGAGCUGUUUUAUAACUAGCACGCAUUGAAGUGGCCGGCCACCUUGGCCCUCUCCUUUAACUACUCUAAGGUUGACCUCGGAUCAGGUAGGGAUACCCGCUGAACUUAA
Molecule: unclassified non-coding RNA, 256 nt
Filed under: Capronia sp.
Lineage: Eukaryota; Fungi; Ascomycota; Eurotiomycetes; Chaetothyriales; Herpotrichiellaceae
Description: partial contains 5.8S ribosomal RNA, internal transcribed spacer 2, and large subunit ribosomal RNA
Source: RNAcentral